GGGUUUCAAGCUACAGAGGGCGCACGGUGGAUGCCUUGGCGCUAAGGGCCGAUGAAGGACGCUGUCGGCGGCGAAAGGGCCGGGGAGGUGCCGA
This 94-nucleotide ribosomal RNA is filed under the name Candidatus Segetimicrobium genomatis. RNAcentral describes it as "Terrabacteria group bacterium ANGP1 partial 23S ribosomal RNA". The record is from RNAcentral. Lineage: Bacteria; Bacillati; Candidatus Sysuimicrobiota; Candidatus Sysuimicrobiia; Candidatus Sysuimicrobiales; Candidatus Segetimicrobiaceae.